Non-coding RNA from Puma concolor (puma), 1125 nucleotides. The record is from RefSeq and is a predicted model, not a curated record. NCBI's taxonomy places the organism in Eukaryota, Metazoa, Chordata, Mammalia, Carnivora, Felidae.
AAACCCUGUUCACAGUCUAUGUGUGUGGUUGCUUAGUAGGGUAAUGCUUGCAGCUGCCUUUAGAAGCAAAUCUGGUGGCCGGGGCAAGACACAAGCAUCGGGAUGAGGCAGGACUGAGCUCCCAGCUCCCACCUGCCUGACUGGGGAGAGGGAGAGAAUACCAGUGAGACCAGACGAUCCAGCAGCAGUGGCUCUGCCCUGGAUUCAAGAAGCUGUGAAUUCCGUAAUGUCACACACUGGCAUGAGAAUAUCGUGUAUUCUUUAAACAGAGUUAUGAAAAGAAAGAAGCUGGUCAGGAGACUAAAACAGGAAUUGUCCUUUUCAAGAGCCGGAACUCCAACAUUCCUUGGCUUCACGGAGAGAAGCACCUGCGAAAAUGUGGGCAAGGCAAGAAGAAUGCCCAUGACCUAACCAGACAGAGCACAGGACAGAACUGCAGGACGGGCGUUCCACUGAAGGCUGCUUAGAAGCCAGAAGGUCUACCCUGCAAAGUCAUCACUAAUGCCCACCCCCACCUCCUGACUGUCCCCCAUCCCGGUCCAAAACCUCCAAAGGACACCCUUGGUAAUGAAUGGGUUAGAUUCGCUGAACUGCAGUGAAAUUCAAAGGCCCAGGCUUACACGAAGCAUUCAAAAGCUAGAAGACAUUUGGCUAGGAUUGUGUUGUUUUCUUUUGUUUUGUUUCAGUCACUGAGCCAAAUCCCUAGUCUGUGUAACUCAGGACACCAAGGUGAAAUGGAAAUCUGGCCUAUAUUUAUAUCUUACAACGAACUUCUCAUUGCGUUGUUCAUUGUGUCCUAUUACUUCUAAUACAUGCUAUAAAAAUAAAAAACAUCAUCAUAAAAAAAAAAAAGCUAGAAGAGAGAGCACCACUUUCAUGUGACAAGGAAUUUCAGAAAUUUGGGCCUUUACUUUAAAUUUGUAAAUUUUAAUGUCAAUUUUCAACUUCACUGAACUUUGUUAUAAACAAGUAAAAUUUCUUUUCCUAAUUUCAAGUAGAUUUAAAGGAAGCUAUGUUAAGGAACUAAGAUACCAUAGACUACUCCCAUUUCGGCCAACUGCAAUAAAUAUAAAUGUAGCCCCUGUUCCCAAAUACUGGAGAAUUCUUUAUUACCCUUAAAAGGCA